Molecule: ribosomal RNA, 516 nt
Filed under: Pseudeurotium sp. F09-T5-1
Lineage: Eukaryota; Fungi; Ascomycota; Leotiomycetes; Thelebolales; Pseudeurotiaceae
Description: eukaryotic LSU rRNA
Rfam family: 5.8S ribosomal RNA (bases 174-327)
Source: RNAcentral
AAGGAUCAUUAAAGAGACGUUGCCCUUCGGGGUAUACCUCCCACCCUUUGUUUAUUAUACCUUUGUUGCUUUGGCGGGCCCGUCCUCGGACCACCGGCUUCGGCUGGUCAGCGCCCGCCAGAGGACCUAAAACUCUGUUUGUUCAUAUUGUCUGAGUACUAUAUAAUAGUUAAAACUUUCAACAACGGAUCUCUUGGUUCUGGCAUCGAUGAAGAACGCAGCGAAAUGCGAUAAGUAAUGUGAAUUGCAGAAUUCAGUGAAUCAUCGAAUCUUUGAACGCACAUUGCGCCCCCUGGUAUUCCGGGGGGCAUGCCUGUUCGAGCGUCAUUACAACCCUCAAGCUCUGCUUGGUAUUGGGCUCUGCCGGUCCCGGCAGGCCUUAAAAUCAGUGGCGGUGCCAUUCGGCUUCAAGCGUAGUAAUUCUUCUCGCUUUGGAGGCCCGGGUGCGUGCUUGCCAGCAACCCCCAAUUUUUUCAGGUUGACCUCGGAUCAGGUAGGGAUACCCGCUGAACUUAA